This 139-nucleotide small nucleolar RNA is filed under the name Sorex araneus (European shrew). RNAcentral describes it as "Small Cajal body specific RNA 23 (ENSSARG00000019047.1)". The record is from RNAcentral. Lineage: Eukaryota; Metazoa; Chordata; Mammalia; Eulipotyphla; Soricidae.
UUAUUUGUUUUGUUUUUUUUACUGUUAAGAAACACUCAAUUCUGAUCUGCCCUCCACAACCACAAGCAAGAGAGACUGGAUUGGUUUUUGGGGUACCCUGUGUAAGUGGACAUGGGAGACCAGGGUUUUCAGUACAAUA